UGAGGUGUAGCCAAGCGGUAAGGCGACGGGUUUUGAUACCGUUAUCGUAGGUUCGAAUCCUACCACCCCAG
RNAcentral lists this transfer RNA (71 nucleotides) under seawater metagenome. RNAcentral's name for it is "tRNA-Gln". It matches the Rfam family "tRNA". Rfam says of the family: Transfer RNA (tRNA) molecules are approximately 80 nucleotides in length. Their secondary structure includes four short double-helical elements and three loops (D, anti-codon, and T loops). The record is from RNAcentral.